AUAGGCGAUGAUGAGCUCCAUCCCUACCUGAGUUGUGAUGAAUGUAGCGCGCUCUGAGCAACC
This is a non-coding RNA of Pyrococcus horikoshii OT3, 63 nucleotides long. The record is from Rfam. NCBI's taxonomy places the organism in Archaea, Methanobacteriati, Methanobacteriota, Thermococci, Thermococcales, Thermococcaceae.